Non-coding RNA from Podarcis lilfordi (Lilford's wall lizard), 4054 nucleotides. Lineage: Eukaryota; Metazoa; Chordata; Lepidosauria; Squamata; Lacertidae. The record is from the annotation of a GenBank genome assembly.
GUUGGUGGCUGGUUUUAGUUGGGUAGGUUGGUUGGGAAAGGCAGUUGGAAAAGCAGUUGGCAGGCAGUUGGAAAUAGAGAGACAGUUAGUGCAGUGGGUUCUUGUGUGAGGGGAGGUAGAAGAGAUAGAGACAGGAUAAAACAAUACUAAGAAGGUAAAGAGUAACUACGUUUGGAAUGCAGUUAAAGUUUGUUUGUGUCUGAAAUAAACUACACUCUUCUUUGUUAAUUUGAGAACAUAACUGAGACUAAGUGAUUUACCAGGGAGGACCUGGUUGGUGGCAGCAGAUUAGUGGUGUACGGGUCAAUAGUCCGUGAGACGACCGGGAGCUCCAUAUGAACGCUACAGCCACUGUAUUAGAGUAUUAAAGCCUAGUGCCUCCUUCCCAAAGCUCAGGAAGCUUCUGCACGACUUAGGGAGGGAGGCAUGACGAUUUGACAGGGUGCAAGAGCCCUCCUGCCACCUUCCCAAAGCCUACCCUCAGUUAUCUGUGGCAAGUGCAGGUUAAAGCACAUAAGGCCUUUAAGAACCAUAUUGUCAGGAAACCAUUGUUUAAUGUCUGGGUGAGAUAUAAGGAUUUGUUGGAAAGUAAAACACCAAGGUGGCUGUCACCAAUGGAGGCUAAGGCUCUGAAAAAAACUAAUAUGGAGAUAAAUUGGCCAAAAUACUGUGAAAUUUUAGAACAAGAUGGAGAUAGAUUAAAGCUGCAGAGCUUUGACAAAUUAAAAACUAAAGUUCGAGACUGGCUUCAUUAUUAUCAAAUAAGGGAGGCUUAUAAUUUAGAUAAGAAGAUUGGUUUCCAGGAGGAAAAAUCAAAAUUGGAAACAGAAUUGUUAGAUCCCAAAACUAAGAAUCUGUCAAGAAUGUAUAAUUUGCUGUUGAAAUGGAAUACGCAGGAUGAAACGGUUAAAUCUGUUAUGAUUAAAUGGGCACAAGAUUUUGGACAUAACAUUAUGUUUGCUGACUGGGAACAGUUAUGGACCACAGGUAUGAAAUUUACGGCUUGUGAUGCCUUAAGAGAAAAUAUAAUGAAAAUGAUUUACAGGUGGUACUUAACCCCAGUCAAGCUAGCAAAAAUCUAUCAUUUGCCAGAUAGUAAAUGUUGGAAAUGUAAAGAGACUGAGGGCACAUUUUUUCACCUUUGGUGGACAUGCCCAAAGAUUAAGGCUUUCUGGGAAAUGAUAUAUAAUGAACUGAAAAAGGUAUUUAAAUAUACCUUUCUGAAGAAACCAGAGGCCUUUCUUCUGGGCAUGGUCGGCCAAUUGGUGCGAAGGGAGGAUAGAACUUUCUAUAUGUAUGCUACAACAGCAGCAAGAAUACUCAUCGGGAAGUACUGGAAGACACAAGAAUUGCCCACCCGAGAAGAAUAGCAGAUGAAAGUGAUGGACUACAUGGAACUGGCUGAGAUGACCGGCAGAAUUCGAGACCAGGGAGAAGGGUCGAUGGAAGAAGAUUGGAAAAAAUUCAAAAUAUAUCUUCAAAAGUACUGCAAUAUAAAAGAAUGUUAGAAAGAGGUUGGAAAAAGAAUAUUAGGUCGUUCUGGUAGAUAUGAUAUAAUGGACUAAGCAAAAAUGAGUUGAUGAAAUUGAUGAAUUAGAGGAGGUUUAAUCACAUUACUUUAAUUUUAAAAUACGUAAAUGAAAAUAAGGUUAGAAGGAUUUGCUGGAAACACGAUCUGAACUAGAAUACAAAACUGGGAGGUGAGAGGAGGUCAUGGAAAUAAGUAAAGGGAAAAGGCUAUGUAAAGGUUUAAUCUGUUUUUGUUUUAUUUUAACUCAAUGUAUCUUUAUAUUUUUUGUUAAGUCUUCUUUUUUAUUGUAUCUUAUUGUUCUUUUUUACUUGUUUAUUUCUUGCUUUGUUAUGGUUAAAGAUUUCUUUGUAUUUUGUAUGGUUUUUCUUUUUCUUUUUUGUAACUUUAAAUCUGGAAUAAAUAUUAUUUUUUUAAAAAAAAAUAUCUGUGGCAAGUGCAUGUUUCUGUUAUACAUAGUGUCAUAUUCCUCAACCCAGGUACUUGCAGUGUGUGGCAGAGAACUCUUAUUGGGACAAAGCUCGGGCUGCUUCCUUGGGGUGGAGGCAGGGAUGAGAUGAUCAGUAUCAUGUCCUGAGUAUUCAUGCAGAUAUAAUUUAUUAGUAUACUAAUAUGACUAAUUGACCAAGAUUUCUUUUCUCAGCUGACGUAUUUUGGGAGCUUAGCGGAGGAUUUAAAAUCCUAAUUGCACUGGCUAUUCAUAGGCUCCGAUUACACUGGUACUUGCAGAUGCUUCCUUGUUGUCCUUGUAUGGGGAGGAAAAGGCUCCGCCUACACAAGUAACUGAUUGGUAGAAGAGAGAACGGAGUUCCAUAUGCAGGGGUUUGGCCAUAUUUGGAAAUGAAAGUCAGAGAUGUAGCCAUUGCUGAGUACAAAAAUAUGGCUAUGAUUCAAACUGCCUCUUCAGAGAUGUGAGCUUGGCCAGGCUUCAAAAGGAACUUCACUGGUGAGGUGGAUUAUUUAAAAGAAAGAACAUUGAGUGGUGGGAAGAAAAUGCUUCUUGCAAUCUCUGGCUAUGUGGAACAAUCUCAUUUCAUAGAAUUCAUAGAAUUGUAGAGUUUGAAGGGACCCCAAGGGUUAUCUAGUCAUAACAGGAUGAGGAACAUCAGACCUAGAGGUGCCAUAUGACCCUCUAGGCAUCUAACUCUGGUCCUCAAUACUCUAACUCUCUCACUUCUUCACAUCCCUACUGAUUUUGCUAUUUAAAACUAGGCUAAGUUAAAAUUUGCAUUCAUUGAUCCACCCAUUUUUCUCUCUGACUUCACCCACCAGAAGGGAAUAUGAUCCUCAGGCUGAAAAACAAGUUUCCUACUCCUACGUUAUUGUCUCACUUGAGAAAUUACUAGAUAAUAUUGUAAAGCACUUUGGAUUUUUUUAAUGAUAUAGCAGUAUGUAAAUAUCUUUAUGAAUGAAUGAAUGAAUGAAUGAAUGAAUUGGCAUUGAGAGAUUAUGUUCUGGCCCAGAUUUCACCCUGUCACCAUGUGAAUGAUUUUGGGGAGUUUGUAAGAGCACUGAUGGAAUCAAAAUCUGAAUAAACUUGGAAGGCGUCACCAAUGUUCUGACAUCUCCACUCAGGGUGUUUCAUCGUCUCAUUCAGCUGCCUUGAUCUGUGGGAUCCCAGAGGUUUAAACAGGUGAUCCCAUGUGUUGCAAUAACACACAACCCAGCCGAGAAAAGGUGGUUGGUGGGAAGCAAUGGUGUUGCAUUUCAACAAGUCUUUCCAAAGCCAUUCUAGGAAGUGUGGAUGGUAAGAAAUGGCAGAGAGGAACCUGCACUGAAGGACCUUUGCUCUAAAAUACAAAUAAAAUGAGCAAUAAACACUUGGCCUUUUUGAAGGGUUAAGGUGAGCAACAGAUACUACCUCCAUACCAGCACCACAGUGCCAAUUGAUUUGGUCCUUUCUAGGAUUCUACCGACGCGUUUGAUGCAAUGCAAUAUCCCCCUGCCAAAGAUGAUUUGCAACCACAAGGAGCAGUGAUUAAGUGCUUCCUUUUUGGCAGUGAGGGGACAUUUAGUCCUCCAGAUUUCCCAACUUAAUCCCUCCCAUUGUUAAUUAUUCAUUCCACCUCUUCCUUUUGCUGUUGAGAAGGCAAGGCUGACAUUUUGGAGGUAAAGUGGAUAUGCAAUUUACUGCUUGCUGCAGCCCUUGCUCUGAUUUUUCUUCAUCUUGACUUUUUUUUUUAACAUGGAGAGCUUUAGGUUUGGUAGCAAUGAUAUAUGGCUCUGAUCCCCAACUUUGGCUCCUCGCUCCAUAUCUGUGUGGAAGACGCACUUCCCAUUUUCUGCCCUUUUCUCCAGCCCCCUUCUAAGAGAAGAUGCAGCCAUUAAGCUGUCAUUUUUUAUUGUUUUGCUGCAGCAGUGAUUGUGUUUUACAGCACUUCUCCAUUGUUUUCAGCUUUGUAUCUUGAUAGCAGGUGCUCCUCCCUACUUCAUGAGCUCCUUGUUAUGAACCAGAAUAGCAGCACAUUAAUAUUGAUAAAAUCUCUGGGGAAAACCAAAGGAAAUGGCAUGUUUAUCUUCAAUGGG